UACGUAGGGACCGAGCGUUGUCCGGAAUCAUUGGGCGUAAAGAGCGUGUAGGCGGCCAGGUAGGUGGGUUGUGAAAACUGGAGGCUCAACCUUCAGACGUCGACCCAAACCCCCUGGCUAGAGUCCGGAAGAGGAGAGUGGAAUUCCUGGUGUAGCGGUGAAAUGCGCAGAUAUCAGGAAGAACACCCGUGGCGAAGGCGGCUCUCUGGGACGGUACUGACGCUGAGACGCGAAAGCGUGGGGAGCGAACAGG
RNAcentral lists this ribosomal RNA (253 nucleotides) under uncultured bacterium. RNAcentral describes it as "partial 16S ribosomal RNA". It matches the Rfam family "Bacterial small subunit ribosomal RNA", at positions 524 to 776 of the family's 1533-position model. The record is from RNAcentral.